Acanthosepion pharaonis is the source of this 109-nucleotide non-coding RNA. The record is from the annotation of a GenBank genome assembly. NCBI's taxonomy places the organism in Eukaryota, Metazoa, Mollusca, Cephalopoda, Sepiida, Sepiidae.
GCCAUAUCACAUUGAAACACCGGUUCUCGUGCGACCACUGAAGUUAAGCAAUAUUGAGCCGGGUCAGUACCUAGAUGGGUAGCCGCUUAAGACUACCAGGUGCUGUAAG